GACGAACCGUGCGAACGUUGUUCGGAAUCACUGGGCUUAAAGGGCGCGUAGGCGGGUCAGCCAGUUCGGGGUGAAAUCCUCCGGCUUAACCGGAGAACUGCCUCGAAGACGACUGAUCUGGAGGGAGGUAGGGGUCGCUGGAACUUCCGGUGGAGCGGUGAAAUGCGUUGAUAUCGGAAGGAACGCCGGUGGCGAAAGCGAGCGACUGGACCUUUACUGACGCUGAGGCGCGAAAGCUAGGGGAGCAAACGGG
Molecule: ribosomal RNA, 253 nt
Filed under: uncultured bacterium
Lineage: Bacteria
Description: partial 16S ribosomal RNA
Rfam family: Bacterial small subunit ribosomal RNA
Source: RNAcentral